RNAcentral lists this ribosomal RNA (205 nucleotides) under uncultured bacterium. RNAcentral describes it as "partial 16S ribosomal RNA". It matches the Rfam family "Bacterial small subunit ribosomal RNA", at positions 568 to 774 of the family's 1533-position model. The record is from RNAcentral.
UACGUAGGCGGAAAUUAAGUCAGUGGUGAAAUCCUGCAGCUUAACUGUAGAACUGUCAUUGAUACUGGUUUCUUGAAUGUAGUUGAGGUAGGCGGAAUGUGUAAUGUAGCGGUGAAAUGCUUAGAUAUUACACAGAACACCGAUUGCGAAGGCAGCUUACUAAACUACGAUUGACGCUGAGGUACGAAAGCGUGGGGAGCGAACA